This 407-nucleotide ribosomal RNA is filed under the name uncultured bacterium. Its description in RNAcentral is "partial 16S ribosomal RNA". It matches the Rfam family "Bacterial small subunit ribosomal RNA", at positions 30 to 526 of the family's 1533-position model. The record is from RNAcentral.
AUUGAACGCUAGCGGGAUGCCUUACACAUGCAAGUCGAACGGAGUGGCGAACGGGUGAGUAAUGUAUCGGAACGUGCCCAGUAGCGGGGGAUAACUACGCGAAAGCGUAGCUAAUACCGCAUACUAUUGGAGCGGCCGAGACGGGAUUAUCUAGUUGGUGGGGUAACGGCUCACCAAGGCGACGAUCCGUAGCUGGUUUAAGAGGACGACCAGCCACACUGGGACUGAGACAAGGCCCAGACUCCUACGGGAGGCAGCAGUGGGGAAUUGUUGACAAUGGGAGCAAGCCUGAUCCAGCCAUGCCGCGUGUGCGAUGAAGGCCGUCGGGUUGUAAAGCACUUUUGGCAGGAAAGCGGUACCUGCAGAAUAAGCACCGGCUAACUACGUGCCAGCAGCCGCGGUAAUUC